RNAcentral lists this ribosomal RNA (429 nucleotides) under Bacillota bacterium. Its description in RNAcentral is "Firmicutes bacterium partial 16S ribosomal RNA". It matches the Rfam family "Bacterial small subunit ribosomal RNA", at positions 355 to 776 of the family's 1533-position model. The record is from RNAcentral. Lineage: Bacteria; Bacillati; Bacillota.
UGGGGAAUUUUGGACAAUGGGGGAAACCCUGAUCCAGCCAUGCCGCGUGAGUGAAGAAGGCCUUCGGGUUGUAAAGCUCUUUCAGCCGGAACGAAACGGUCACGGUUAAUACCUGUGACUACUGACGGUACCGGAAGAAGAAGCACCGGCUAACUACGUGCCAGCAGCCGCGGUAAUACGUAGGGUGCAAGCGUUAAUCGGAAUUACUGGGCGUAAAGCGUGCGCAGGCGGUUUUGUAAGUCAGAUGUGAAAUCCCCGGGCUUAACCUGGGAACUGCGUUUGAAACUACAAGGCUAGAGUGUGGCAGAGGGGGGUGGAAUUCCACGUGUAGCAGUGAAAUGCGUAGAGAUGUGGAGGAACACCGAUGGCGAAGGCAGCCCCCUGGGUUAACACUGACGCUCAGGCACGAAAGCGUGGGGAGCAAACAGG